Molecule: small RNA, 127 nt
Filed under: Marmota monax (woodchuck)
Lineage: Eukaryota; Metazoa; Chordata; Mammalia; Rodentia; Sciuridae
Source: RNAcentral
GCUAGGCACGGUGGCACAUGCCUGUAAUCCUGGAGUCUUGGGAGGCUGAGGCAGGAGGAUCGAGAGUUCAAAGCCAGCCUCAGCAACUUAGCAAGGUCCUAAGCAACUCAGUGAGACCCUGUCUCUG